Molecule: ribosomal RNA, 735 nt
Filed under: uncultured Fusobacterium sp.
Lineage: Bacteria; Fusobacteriati; Fusobacteriota; Fusobacteriia; Fusobacteriales; Fusobacteriaceae
Description: bacterial SSU rRNA
Rfam family: Bacterial small subunit ribosomal RNA
Source: RNAcentral
GAUGAACGCUGACAGAAUGCUUAACACAUGCAAGUCUACUUGAAUUUGGGUUUUUAACUUAGGUUUGGGUGGCGGACGGGUGAGUAACGCGUAAAGAACUUGCCUCACAGCCAGGGACAACAUUUAGAAAUGAAUGCUAAUACCUAAUAUUAUGAUAAUAGGGCAUCCUAUAAUUAUGAAAGCUAUAUGCGCUGUGAGAGAGCUUUGCAUCCCAUUAGCUAGUUGGAGAGGUAACGGCUCACCAAGGCGAUGAUGGGUAGCCGGCCUGAGAGGGUGAUCGGCCACAAGGGGACUGAGACACGGCCCUUACUCCUACGGGAGGCAGCAGUGGGGAAUAUUGGACAAUGGACCGAGAGUCUGAUCCAGCAAUUCUGUGUGCACGAUGAAGUUUUUCGGAAUGUAAAGUGCUUUCAGUUGGGAAGAAAUAAAUGACGGUACCAACAGAAGAAGUGACGGCUAAAUACGUGCCAGCAGCCGCGGUAAUACGUAUGUCACGAGCGUUAUCCGGAUUUAUUGGGCGUAAAGCGCGUCUAGGUGGUUAUAUAAGUCUGAUGUGAAAAUGCAGGGCUCAACUCUGUAUUGCGUUGGAAACUGUAUAACUAGAGUACUGGAGAGGUAAGCGGAACUACAAGUGUAGAGGUGAAAUUCGUAGAUAUUUGUAGGAAUGCCGAUGGGGAAGCCAGCUUACUGGACAGAUACUGACGCUGAAGCGCGAAAGCGUGGGUAGCAAACAGG